This 207-nucleotide ribosomal RNA is filed under the name uncultured bacterium. Its description in RNAcentral is "partial 16S ribosomal RNA". It matches the Rfam family "Bacterial small subunit ribosomal RNA", at positions 1294 to 1500 of the family's 1533-position model. The record is from RNAcentral.
CGGAUUGUAGUCUGCAACCCGACUACAUGAAGCUGGAAUCGCUAGUAAUCGCGAAUCAGAAUGUCGCGGUGAAUACGUUCCCGGGUCUUGUACACACCGCCCGUCACACCAUGGGAGUCGGAUAUGCCCGAAGCCGGUGACCUAACCGCAAGGAAGGAGCCGUCGAAGGUGGAGCCGAUGACUGGGGUGAAGUCGUAACAAGGUACC